Molecule: transfer RNA, 67 nt
Filed under: Pseudoxanthomonas wuyuanensis
Lineage: Bacteria; Pseudomonadati; Pseudomonadota; Gammaproteobacteria; Lysobacterales; Lysobacteraceae
Description: Pseudoxanthomonas sp. XC21-2 tRNA
Rfam family: tRNA
About the family: Transfer RNA (tRNA) molecules are approximately 80 nucleotides in length.
Source: Rfam by way of RNAcentral
UGGAUAGCUCAGUUGGGUAGAGCAGCAGAUUUCUAAUCUGUCGGUCGCGGGUUCGACUCCCGCUCCA